Non-coding RNA from Pelobates cultripes (western spadefoot toad), 950 nucleotides. Lineage: Eukaryota; Metazoa; Chordata; Amphibia; Anura; Pelobatidae. The record is from the annotation of a GenBank genome assembly.
GGGAGAUGAAGAGAUCCUCAAUAAAAUAUUAAUACAAACAAAGCUUGCCACCCUACGCGUUUCGUCUUAUUGACGUCAUCAGGGGCUUGUAGCAACACAAAAUACAAACAUAUACACACUUAAAUAUCCUACCUUAAAAGUCUUUAACCAAUCCUGAAAGUGCCUUCGAUCGGACACAUCUGUAGUUGAUCUCCUCCAUCGGGUUUCAUUAUCCUUUCGCGCUUUUAGAGGCGCGUGCGCUCCAAGCCUCGUUUUCACAAAACCAGAAGUCCUAGUUCAUCUGUAUCUGAAACGCAAAUGCGUUCCACUUCGGUCCGGAAACCGGAAAGAAGGUCUGGAUUGGAGCGCACGUACAUGUCAGUCCCUCCGAAACCGGAAACGAAGUCCGAAGUGGAAAUCAGAAUAUGUUCCACUCCUUAUUCUAUAGAUAUGGAACACUCAUAUAUUCCGAAGAAAAAGUUAUAUCAAAAACAAUAAAAAGAUAUAAAAACAAAAAAUAACAUUAAAAUGGAUAAAUCAAAUAUAUUUGUAUCAUCUUCCAUAAAAAUACUGAUAAUAAUAAAUAUCAUAAAAUACAAAAGCCAAUUACAAAAAACAUGCCAUAUCAAAAUCUACAUUCAUACCUUCUGGUUGCAUUGUUUUUAAAGUAUGAAUCCAAAAACCUUCUCUUUGUCUUAAUUUAAGUACCAGAUCUCCACCUCUCGCAUCUAAAGACACCUUUUCAAUCCCAAUACACGAAAAAGUACUUGGAUUAAAAUUCUGACACCUAUUGCAGUGAACGGGAACUGAAUGGGUUAAUAAUUUAUUUUUAAUAUUAUUAAAAUGUUCUAAAAAUCUUUUUUUCACUGGUCUAAUAGUCCGUCCGACAUAUUGAAUUCCACAACCACAUGUAAGGAGAUAAACUACAUGUGUGGAAUUACAUGUAAUAUGUUCUUUAAUUUUAAAAUUCU